This 301-nucleotide ribosomal RNA is filed under the name uncultured bacterium. RNAcentral describes it as "partial 16S ribosomal RNA". It matches the Rfam family "Bacterial small subunit ribosomal RNA", at positions 509 to 809 of the family's 1533-position model. The record is from RNAcentral.
CAGCCGCCGCGGGAAUACGAAGGGUGCAAGCGUUAAUCGGAAUUACUGGGCGUAAAGCGUGCGUAGGCGGUGAGUUAAGUCUGCUGUGAAAUCCCCGGGCUCAACCUGGGAAUGGCAGUGGAUACUGGCUCGCUAGAGUGUGUCAGAGGAUGGUGGAACUCCCGGUGUAGCGGUGAAAUGCGUAGAGAUCGGGAGGAACAUCAGUGGCGAAGGCGGCCAUCUGGGACAACACUGACGCUGAGGCACGAAAGCGUGGGGAGCAAACAGGAUUAGAUACCCCGGUAGUCCCUGUCUCUUAUAA